Molecule: ribosomal RNA, 253 nt
Filed under: uncultured bacterium
Lineage: Bacteria
Description: partial 16S ribosomal RNA
Rfam family: Bacterial small subunit ribosomal RNA
Source: RNAcentral
UACGUAGGGGGCAAGCGUUGUCCGGAAUCAUUGGGCGUAAAGCGCGUGUAGGCGGUCCGGUAAGUCCGCUGUGAAAGUCGGGGGCUCAACCCUCGGAUGCCGGUGGAUACUGUCGGGCUUGAGUACGGAAGAGGCGAGUGGAAUUCCUGGUGUAGCGGUGAAAUGCGCAGAUAUCAGGAGGAACACCAAAUGCGAAGGCAGCUCGCUGGGACGUUACUGACGCUGAGACGCGAAAGCGUGGGGAGCAAACAGG